UUCACUUCUCAGUCUUUUGGCUAAGAUCAAGUAUAGUAUUUGUUCUUACCUGUUUAAUUUCUCUCUCUGAUUAUUAAAUUACAAGCCCUA
Callithrix jacchus (white-tufted-ear marmoset) is the source of this 90-nucleotide small nuclear RNA. Its record names the gene U2. It matches the Rfam family "U2 spliceosomal RNA". Rfam says of the family: U2 is a small nuclear RNA (snRNA) component of the spliceosome (involved in pre-mRNA splicing). Complementary binding between U2 snRNA (in an area lying towards the 5' end but 3' to hairpin I) and the branchpoint sequence (BPS) of the intron results the bulging out of an unpaired adenosine, on the BPS, which initiates a nucleophilic attack at the intronic 5' splice site, thus starting the first of two transesterification reactions that mediate splicing. The record is from Ensembl. Lineage: Eukaryota; Metazoa; Chordata; Mammalia; Primates; Cebidae.